GAUGAACGCUGGCGGCGUGCCUAAUACAUGCAAGUCGAGCGAGAAACUCAUGACUGAUUCUUCGGAUGAAGGACUGAGCGGAAAGCGGCGGACGGGUGAGUAACGCGUGGGUAACCUGCCCCAUACAGAGGGAUAGCAGUUGGAAACGACUAUUAAUACCUCAUAUUCUGCUUUUAUCGCAUGAUAGAAGUAGGAAAGAUUUAUCGGUAUGGGAUGGACCCGCGUCUGAUUAGCUAGUUGGUGAGGUAACGGCUCACCAAGGCGACGAUCAGUAGCCGACCUUAGAGGGUGAUCGGCCACACUGGAACUGAGACACGGUCCAGACUCCUACGGGAGGCAGCAGUAGGGAAUAUUGGGCAAUGGGGGCAACCCUGACCCAGCAACGCCGCGUGAACGAAGAAGGUCUUCGGAUUGUAAAGUUCUUUUCUUAGGGAAGAAGAAAGUGACGGUACCUAAGGAAUAAGCACCGGCUAACUACGUGCCAGCAGCCGCGGUAAUACGUAGGGUGCAAGCGUUAUCCGGAAUCACUGGGCGUAAAGGGUGCGUAGGCGGCCUAACAAGUCAGGAGUGAAAGGCAUUGGCUUAACCAAUGUGAGCUUCUGAAACUGUUUGGCUUGAAUACAGGAUGGGCAAGUGGAAUUCCUAGUGUAGCGGUGAAAUGCGUAGAUAUUAGGAGGAACAUCAGUGGCGAAGGCGACUUGCUGGACUGAGAUUGACGCUGAGGCACGAAAGCGUGGGGAGCGAACAGG
Molecule: ribosomal RNA, 749 nt
Filed under: uncultured bacterium
Lineage: Bacteria
Description: bacterial SSU rRNA
Rfam family: Bacterial small subunit ribosomal RNA
Source: RNAcentral